RNAcentral lists this ribosomal RNA (377 nucleotides) under uncultured Planctomycetota bacterium. RNAcentral's name for it is "bacterial SSU rRNA". It matches the Rfam family "Bacterial small subunit ribosomal RNA", at positions 521 to 896 of the family's 1533-position model. Lineage: Bacteria; Pseudomonadati; Planctomycetota. The record is from RNAcentral.
UAAGACGAAGGUGGCAAGCGUUGUUCGGAAUCACUGGGCUUAAAGCGCGCGCAGGCGGAAAAGUAAGCGUCUUGUGAAGUCCCCCGGCUUAACCGGGGAACUGCUCGGCGAACUGCUUUUCUUGAGGCAGGUAGAGGUGCAUGGAACUCUUGGUGGAGCGGUGGAAUGCGUAGAUAUCAAGAGGAACGCCAGUGGAGAAGUCGGUGCACUGGGCCUGUCCUGACGCUGAGGUGCGAAAGCGUGGGGAGCGAACGGGAUUAGAUACCCCGGUAGUCCACGCCGUAAACGAUGUCUACUAGGUUGCGGGAGUUCUGACACUUUCGCGGCCGGAGCAAAAGUGAUAAGUAGACCGCCUGGGGAGUACGGUCGCAAGGCUA